Molecule: ribosomal RNA, 468 nt
Filed under: uncultured bacterium
Lineage: Bacteria
Description: partial 16S ribosomal RNA
Rfam family: Bacterial small subunit ribosomal RNA
Source: RNAcentral
GACGAACGCUGGCGGCGUGCUUAACACAUGCAAGUCGAACGGAAAGGCCCUGCUUUUUUGGUGUGCUCGAGUGGCGAUCGGGUGAGUAACACGUGAGUAACCUGCCCUUCACUUUGGUAUAACUUCAGGAAACUGGGGCUAAUACCGUAUAGGAUCUCCUGCUGCAUUGUGGGGGUUGGAUCGUUUCGGCGGUUGGGGAUGGACUCGCGGCUUAUCAGCUUGUUGGUGGGCUAGUGGCUUACCAAGGCUUUGAAGGGUAGCCGGCAUGAGAGGGUGACCGGCCACAAUGGGACUGAGAGACGGACCAGACUCCUACGGGAGGCAGCAGUGGGGAAUAUGGCACAAUGGGCGGAAGCCUGAUGCAGAAACGCCGCGGGCGGGAUGACGGCCUUCGGGUUGUAAACAGCUGUAGCCUGUGACGAAGCGGGAGUGACGGUAAUGGGUAAAGAAGCACCGGCUAACUACGUG